GUCACCCAGCCCCCCACCUGUCUCCAAAUGGACCCAAAAUGGUACCGUUCGUUUGUGCUUCGUUUGUGCAGGUUUGUGCAGCAAAAAUUUUCGUUUGUGCUGCUUCCGUUUCGGAGAUAUUACACAUUUAUUUUAUAGCGAUGACGUCUGGUAGCCCCGCCCCCUUGUUUACUUCCAAACGACCCAAAAUAGUGCCGUUCGUUCGUUUGUGUUUCGUUUGUGCUGGUUUGUGCUGCAAAAAUGGUACCGAUUGUGCCGGCUGCUACGGUUUUGCAGAUAUUACACAUUUAAUUCAUAGCGAAGACGUCACCCAGCCCCACGUCACUGUAUUUUGUCGCGAAUUUCAAGCUCCUGGAAUGCUCCUCAUGCAGGACGAAUACAAGGUCAUUAUAGAUCUCCCAGGCAUAUGCAGUCCUCCUGCAGUAUGCCACAUAAUGCCCGAGAGAAUCCUGGGUCAGUCCUGGUUCAAAGCCAAUGACUGCUCUCAAAGUAAAGGUCUUCUCUUUUAGCUCCAGACUGGAGGGAAAUUCAAGCAAGGCAACUUCCUUGCAACUGCUACCAAGAGUUUUGAAUGAAGACGGACACCGGGAAGGAUUUUUGGCGUUCAGUGAAUCAUUCAAUUUGUCAUUUAUUUAAUACUAAUUUAUUUUCUAGAGAUGUCAUAUCCUUACUCCAUGGAUCGUUAAUUAACCAUUUGUUUGUGCCAUUGCAAUUUUUCAUUAUUAAAAUCAUGCAUCUUCAUUAACCCCCUGUCAUGUAUUUUAUUCUUUUUCACUUGACAUCAUGAUAACUCCUUAA
Syngnathus typhle (broad-nosed pipefish) is the source of this 798-nucleotide long non-coding RNA. RefSeq lists it as uncharacterized. Lineage: Eukaryota; Metazoa; Chordata; Actinopteri; Syngnathiformes; Syngnathidae. The record is from RefSeq and is a predicted model, not a curated record. The transcript is spliced from 3 exons.